AUCACCUGGGGGGCUUGUUAAAAUGCGGAUUCUGAUUCAGAAGAUCCAGUGGGGCUGAGGUUCUGCAUUUCCAGUGAGCUCCCAGGUGGUGCUGA
Molecule: microRNA precursor, 95 nt
Filed under: Pongo abelii (Sumatran orangutan)
Lineage: Eukaryota; Metazoa; Chordata; Mammalia; Primates; Hominidae
Description: mir-544 microRNA precursor family
Rfam family: mir-544 microRNA precursor family
Source: Rfam by way of RNAcentral